Molecule: transfer RNA, 62 nt
Filed under: Escherichia coli
Lineage: Bacteria; Pseudomonadati; Pseudomonadota; Gammaproteobacteria; Enterobacterales; Enterobacteriaceae
Also listed under: 6 other names
Description: tRNA-Gly
Rfam family: tRNA
About the family: Transfer RNA (tRNA) molecules are approximately 80 nucleotides in length. Their secondary structure includes four short double-helical elements and three loops (D, anti-codon, and T loops). Further hydrogen bonds mediate the characteristic L-shaped molecular structure. tRNAs have two regions of fundamental functional importance: the anti-codon, which is responsible for specific mRNA codon recognition, and the 3' end, to which the tRNAs corresponding amino acid is attached (by aminoacyl-tRNA synthetases). tRNAs cope with the degeneracy of the genetic code in two manners: having more than one tRNA (with a specific anti-codon) for a particular amino acid; and 'wobble' base-pairing, i.e. permitting non-standard base-pairing at the 3rd anti-codon position.
Source: RNAcentral
GCGGGAAUAGCUCAGUUGGUAGAGCACGACCUUGCCAAGGUCGGGGUCGCGAGUUCGAGUCU